GCAGUGGAGGUUCAGCGGUAGAAUUCUCAAGUUUCAUAUGGGAGACCCAGGUUCAAUUCCUGGCCAAUCCA
Molecule: transfer RNA, 71 nt
Filed under: Loxodonta africana (African savanna elephant)
Lineage: Eukaryota; Metazoa; Chordata; Mammalia; Proboscidea; Elephantidae
Rfam family: tRNA
About the family: Transfer RNA (tRNA) molecules are approximately 80 nucleotides in length. Their secondary structure includes four short double-helical elements and three loops (D, anti-codon, and T loops).
Source: Rfam by way of RNAcentral